GACGAACGCUGGCGGCGUGCCUAAUACAUGCAAGUCGAGCGGACCGAAUGGAAGCUUGCUUUCAUUCGGUUAGCGGCGGACGGGUGAGUAACACGUGGGUAACCUGCCCGUAAGACCGGGAUAACUCCGGGAAACCGGGGCUAAUACCGGAUAACACCGAAGACCGCAUGGUCUUCGGUUGAAAGGUGGCUUCGGCUACCACUUACGGAUGGGCCCGCGGCGCAUUAGCUAGUUGGUGAGGUAACGGCUCACCAAGGCGACGAUGCGUAGCCGGCCUGAGAGGGUGACCGGCCACACUGGGACUGAGACACGGCCCAGACUCCUACGGGAGGCAGCAGUAGGGAAUCUUCCGCAAUGGACGAAAGUCUGACGGAGCGACGCCGCGUGAGCGAAGAAGGUCUUCGGAUCGUAAAGCUCUGUUGUUAGGGACGAAGAAGUACCGUUCGAAUAGGGCGGUACGGUGACGGUACCUAACGAGAAAGCCCCGGCUAACUACGUG
This 499-nucleotide ribosomal RNA is filed under the name uncultured bacterium. RNAcentral's name for it is "partial 16S ribosomal RNA". It matches the Rfam family "Bacterial small subunit ribosomal RNA", at positions 28 to 507 of the family's 1533-position model. The record is from RNAcentral.